This 76-nucleotide transfer RNA is filed under the name Teichococcus aestuarii. RNAcentral's name for it is "tRNA-His". It matches the Rfam family "tRNA". From Rfam's summary of the family: Transfer RNA (tRNA) molecules are approximately 80 nucleotides in length. Their secondary structure includes four short double-helical elements and three loops (D, anti-codon, and T loops). RNAcentral also lists the same sequence under 4 other names. Lineage: Bacteria; Pseudomonadati; Pseudomonadota; Alphaproteobacteria; Acetobacterales; Roseomonadaceae. The record is from RNAcentral.
GCGGCCUUAGCUCAGUUGGUAGAGCGCCACGUUGUGGUCGUGGAUGUCACGGGUUCGAGUCCCGUAGGUCGCCCCA